This 332-nucleotide ribosomal RNA is filed under the name uncultured bacterium. RNAcentral's name for it is "bacterial SSU rRNA". It matches the Rfam family "Bacterial small subunit ribosomal RNA", at positions 568 to 898 of the family's 1533-position model. The record is from RNAcentral.
CGUGUAGGCGGUCUGAUUAGUCUGAUGUGAAAGCCCUGGGCUCAACCCAGGAAGUGCAUUGGAUACUGUCAGACUUGAAUACGGGAGAGGGUAGUGGAAUUCCUAGUGUAGGAGUGAAAUCCGUAGAUAUUAGGAGGAACACCGGUGGCGAAGGCGGCUACCUGGACCGAUAUUGACGCUGAGACGCGAAAGCGUGGGUAGCAAACAGGAUUAGAUACCCUGGUAGUCCACGCCGUAAACGAUGAGUACUAGGUGUUGCGGGUAUUGACCCCUGCAGUGCCGCAGCUAACGCAUUAAGUACUCCGCCUGGGAAGUACGGUCGCAAGACUAGA